GAACCACUGGGUAUUGCUCAAACUUUUCUGGUCUCUCAGUCGCUGCUCCAGAAAACUUGCAUUCAGUACAACUGGACUCUGCAAGCACUGAUAUACAACUCCAUGGUGUUAUUUGGGAACUGGUCAGACUGUUGAGAAACCCAUGGUUGGGUGUUUCGUAUCAUGGGAAGCUUCAUACAAGCUACACUAGGCCUGAUGGGAUAAAGGGAUGUUCAGUUGAUGUUUUCAAAUCUGCAAUAAGCUUGUUGCCUUACCCUGUGGGAUGCAUUUUUUUUAUUUCGAGAUGGAUUGGAAAAUCCGAGAUACAGUGACCUUGUACAAAAGGUGUCCAAAAAUGUGAGUAACAUGUCCAUAUCAUCGAGUCUGAAAAACUACUGCACAAUCUUUAUUUUGAUUUUAUUUAUCAGUGAUACAGGUAUAUAUAGAUGCUUUGUUCUACCCUCAACUUCAGCUUCUCUUUGCUUUUUAGUUGGUUAUAUCAUCUAGCAAUGUGUGCUUAGUUGUUUGGUUUGCAACGUGUGCUUAGUUGUUUGGUUGCAAUCUUUUAUCCGCUUCUCUGAAUUGAUAAUGACAAGUUAUGUUCACCGCACCUCUGCCGCCACCGUCGAUGCCGCUUCCAUGAUGGUAGGGAAGGCGCUGGGGUGUGGGAGCUACUUUCUCAGCCUUGCUGGGUCGACGGCGACAGAGUUAAUUUAGAGCACUAUGUGUAUUUCUUAUUAUCUUAUGAAACUUCUGACCAACACGGUAUCUGACACCGAGAGUUUCACAUUAUUCACAAUCUUCAAAUGUUGUGAUGUGGUCUUUGCAGAUCAUUAACUUUUGGUGUGUUCAUUUGUAUCAAGUGUUCUGGAGCUCAUACAAGCCUGGGGUGCACAUUUCCAAGGUUGACGCGAUCAAGUUUAUUUGUAAUAAGCAAAGAUAAUCAGAAGGAUACGGAUUUGUAGAGUUCUACAGUCAUGCUGCAACUGAAAAAGUAGUUGAUGUUUUUGCUGGGCAUAUAAUGCCAAGUACUAAUCAACUUUUUAGGAUAAGCUGGGCAUCAUUUAGCAUGGGGGAUAUGAGUUCGGAGUCAGACAUUGCUUCAGAUAAUUCCAUAUUUGUAGGCGAUCUUGCCUCUGAUGUCAAUGAUGCUGCAUUCUGGAGACUUUCUCCAGCAGGUACUCCUCUGUCAAAGAUACAAAAGUUGUUAUUGAUGCUAACACUGGUAGAUCAAAGGGCUAUGGAUUUGUGCUUUAUCACGCAUCUGGACUUGUUUCCCUUCUUAAUUUGUUUGGGAGGGAGAUUCAUUCAGAAGUUCACACUUUGCAGUAUUUAUGUACAAAACUGUUUUUGCUCUGCAUUCAUUCCUUGCUGCUUUUAUGCACUACCUUUUUGGAAAAUGGGUUUGUAUGGGUGACAAGUGAGGUAGCUUCAUAUUUUUGAGAAUAUUAAUGAUUGGUCAAAAAAUUUGAGAACAUGUGAAUUGCUAUUAUCAAUGUUCUUUUGGCUAAAAAAUUCUACAGGAAUCAUUUAAUGUUGUUUGCGUAGAUGUGACUAUUUAUUUCUGUUUACUGGAAAAUUGUUGGCUUACAUACUUUUGGGUCUACUGGUUCAUCCUCUCGAUCAGAUGGAGAUAUGAACAAACACAACUGUGAGUACAGAUGCAUUGACUGUAACUUAUGCAAUGUACAUUGUUACAACUUUUCUUUUAUUAUUGUUGUUUAAUUGUCAUUAGGUAUUUAUCGGUUGGCUUGACCCAAAUGUUAGUGAAAAUAAUCUUAAGCAAACCUUCUCCCAGUUGUGAAGAUUGUAGUUGGGAAACAGUGCGGGUUCGUGCAGUUUGAUCAGAAGUAUGGAUUAUUAGCCAUGCACUUUUAUACUUUCCAGUUCCUCCCCACGUAAUUUUUUUUGUUUGGUUAAAUUGCCUCUGUCACCAUGAUGGAAUCCGAUCCAUUAUGGCCUUGUGUUGGUAGUUGCAGUUACACAAUGAUGGAUUGUGUUUACAUUUUUUUUAUGGAAACAGAGAAGCCGAUUAUUCUGUUUGCAAGACGGUUAUCCUAAAUUCUAAUUCAGACAUUAGUGAUGAUACAACAAUGUUCUCCACCAAAACUGUGAUUUCGGGCGAGCUUAGCUUAGGGUGGGACCACCGGAGAUCGUGUGGCGCACGGGAGACAGAAACUCCACCAGCUAUUGUGUUGUGCCCACCGACAGCAAUAACAAAGAUACUGAGGUCAUUGCCAGACAUGACUGCCCUGUUUGCAAUCUAUUGGGUAGUCCUAUUUGGUGGAUUGCAUCUAUAGUACGUUGAAAGCAGAUGUAACAUCAUUGAUUUUCACAUUAGAUGGCUCUUGAGUAUAUGUGAUCUUUCUCUACGAGGAGCCUACAAUUUGUAAUGUUGAAUUUCUUUUGAGACCUCCACAAGCUGUCUAUGAACCAUAUAUGCAGUAGGCAUUCCCACAUGUAUUUUUUUGUUUUUGAAAGGAAUGUUAAAAUUCGUAUGUUCAACUGUAAAUUUAAAUUUCCAGUCCUUUCAACAUGGUCAAGUUUA
Long non-coding RNA from Aegilops tauschii subsp. strangulata, 2527 nucleotides. RefSeq lists it as uncharacterized. NCBI's taxonomy places the organism in Eukaryota, Viridiplantae, Streptophyta, Magnoliopsida, Poales, Poaceae. The record is from RefSeq and is a predicted model, not a curated record.